UGGGGAAUCUUGGUCAAUGGGCGCAAGCCUGAACCAGCGACGCCGCGUGAGUGAUGAAGGCCUUCGGGUUGUAAAGCUCUGUGGGGAGAGACGAAAGAGCACGUUCUAACAGGACGUGUGUUGACGGUAUCUCCUUAGCAAGCACCGGCUAACUCUGUGCCAGCAGCCGCGGUAAGACAGAGGGUGCAAACGUUGCUCGGAAUCACUGGGCGUAAAGGGCGUGUAGGCGGGAGGAUAAGUCGGGCGUGAAAUCCCUGGGCUCAACCCAGGAACUGCACUCGAAACUGUCUUCCUCGAGUACCGGAGAGGAAAGCGGAAUACCUGGUGUAGAGGUGAAAUUCGUAGAUAUCAGGUGGAACACCAGUGGCGAAGGCGGCUUUCUGGACGGUAACUGACGCUG
Molecule: ribosomal RNA, 400 nt
Filed under: uncultured bacterium
Lineage: Bacteria
Description: bacterial SSU rRNA
Rfam family: Bacterial small subunit ribosomal RNA
Source: RNAcentral